Molecule: long non-coding RNA, 2151 nt
Organism: Lathyrus oleraceus (garden pea)
Lineage: Eukaryota; Viridiplantae; Streptophyta; Magnoliopsida; Fabales; Fabaceae
Exons: 2
Source: RefSeq, a predicted model, not a curated record
UCAAGCAAUAUGCUUGGGCCUGAGCCCAAGUUCCAUUCAGCCUAAGACCAAUCCUAUGUCACAUAACCGAAUUUCCAGGGUAAAAACAUUCAGCGCAAAAAGUUCGAUGAACAUGAUCCCAGAAUUUCACUUCCUCAAAACAAAACCAAAUCGCACCCCUGAGUUAAUACGCACUGGAUCUAGGUCGAAAAUGGAGUGAUGCUCCUUCGCGAUGCAAGAAUCUCGUUUCACCGGAAUUCAAACGGCUCGUUUUGACGCGGGUAGAAGAGAUUCAAAAGGAGAAGAAUUACUUACCGACUUGCUAAGACACGGUAGCUCCGACAACGAGUUCCUUCAUUUUUUCUUCCGUUUGCGCAGUUAAGGGCGAGGAGUUGAGUGUUAGAAGAUGAAAGUUGCAGGGGUGAACCGACCUUUUCGCGAAUUGCCCUUUGAAGGAAUCCCGAUGAUGAAUGACGAAAAGAGAAGCUAUUCAAAUGUUUCUCUUCGAUCCCCGAUUGUGAAAAAGGUGAAAGCUUUCUUGUUUUCGAAUUGCAGUGCCUAUGUCAUCUUCUCUCUUCUUCUCUUUCUCCGCUCUACCCUUCUUCUGCGUUCUUUCUGUUAUGUUGUUUCUGCUGUGUGCGGUUAGGUUGAAGAAGAUUGGAUUUUUGCAGGAUGAGUCGAAUGUGGCAGAAAAACGGUUAUCGAUCCCUUGAGUUGUUGCAGGGUGAUUAUGGAGUUAGAAGGUCGAUUGAAGGUUUGUUACAGGUCGGAUUGAAGAAUUUGAGUAUGUGGAUUGAAGGUUGCAAGGUUGAAGAUGGAAUGAAGGUUUCGGUGAGGGUGAAGAGUUGAGGGAGAGGAACUCGAUUAUGAAGAUUAGAGGAGGUGGUUGGGAUUAUUCUGCAGGUUGCAGAAUGGUGGUUUUGUUGAAGAAGAAUAGGAUGAUGAUGAUGAUGGGUGAGGUUGGAGAAGAGGUUAUGGAGGAUGAAGUUAUGGUUGUGAAUUGAAGAUGGAGUGAAGUUGUUGAGGAAGUGAAAAGUGUGAUGGAGGAUGGUUGAAUUUCUAUUGCGAGAGAGUGUGGGAUUGGUUCCUGUUCUGGAGUAAUUCUGCAGGAGAUUUUUGUUGUUGUUGAAGGAAGUGAGAGGAAGUUGGGUUAAAGGUUUUGUUAGUAUCCCGUUUUCUGUCUGUUACAGGUUUUCUGAAGGUAGUUAUGGGGGGAAAGUUCGGUUGAGAUUUUUGACGGUUUUAGAAGUUGAAGUCAGUUACGGUAUGUUGUCGUUCUGUUGCAUCAAAGAUGAUGAAUUGGGGGGGUUAAGAAGUUUGUUGAAGUUUAAAAUUCGGUUAUCCCGGAGCUUGUUACAGGUUUCAGUUAGCCGGUGGUUAUAGCAGUUGGUUGAAUGAUUAUCAGAUGUGGUUUUUAGCAAAGUCAGUUAGCAGGGAUGUGUGUUAUGUUAUGGGAGUCUCAAGUUGGUUGGAAUUUUCGACCGUGAAUGGUCGAUUUCUCAAAUCGAAAGCUUCUGUCAUUCACUAUUUAUUAGACAUGAAGAAGCAUUUGAGUGGAAAGUGCAGUGAAGAGCAGAGAAUAAAAUCAAGGGCGUUCUUUCACGUUAUCUUCUCUAUACACUUUUCUUUGUCAAUGGUGUUCAUGGUUUCUUUCACGUUAUCAACAACAAUUAUCACACCUAGCACAACCGCACCAACAGCAGUAUAACCACGUCUUCCACCGGCAGCAGGACGCCACUGGUAAUUACACUCAGCUCACUUAUGAUCAUCCAUGAGAAUUUCGUAUGCUUCGGAAACCUGUUUGAAUCGAGUCGUUGCAUUGUCUUUUACAGCUUUUGGUGAUUGGGAAUGCUUAUUCGGAUGAAAUUAGAAUGCGAGUUUUCUUGGAUACCGAUUUGAUUUCUUUUUAGAUGUUUUUUUGGGAUUUUGGAGUUUAGUACAGAGUGUUUGGAUUUGGGAUUUUGGUUUUAGGGUCUGGUAAUUGUAACUUGACUUUAGUUUGAAAUGUUUGUUUUUUUGAAUGCAUAAAUUGACUUGAAAUAUGUAUAUAUGAUUGCAUUAGAAAAUGGUUUGGAAUGUUUGUAAUUGAGUUUUGGUUGUGAUCAUAUGAUGUAAAAAAAAUGAAUUUGGAACCUCAGAACUGGAAUUGCAUGUGAAAUUUUGUAAUUGGCA